GAUGAACGCUGGCGGCGUGCUUAAUACAUGCAAGUCGAGCGAACAGACGAGGAGUUUGUUCCUCUGACGUUAGCGGCGGACGGGUGAGUAACACGUGGCUAACCUACCUAUAAGACUGGGCUAACUUCUGGAAACCGGAGCUAAUACCGGAUUAUCUAUUGAACCGCAUGGUUCAAUAGUGAAAGACGGUCUUGCUGUUACUUAUAGAUGGAUCCGCGCCGCAUUAGCUAGUUGGUAAGGUAACGGCUUACCAAGGCAACGAUGCGUAGCCGACCUGAGAGGGUGAUCGGCCACACUGGAACUGAGACACGGUCCAGACUCCUACGGGAGGCAGCAGUAGGGAAUCUUCCGCAAUGGGCGAAAGCCUGACGGAGCAACGCCGCGUGAGUGAUGAAGGUCUUCGGAUCGUAAAACUCUGUUAUUAGGGAAGAACAAAUGUGUAAGUAACUAUGCACGUCUUGACGGUACCUAAUCAGAAAGCCACGGCUAACUACGUG
RNAcentral lists this ribosomal RNA (497 nucleotides) under uncultured bacterium. RNAcentral's name for it is "partial 16S ribosomal RNA". It matches the Rfam family "Bacterial small subunit ribosomal RNA", at positions 28 to 507 of the family's 1533-position model. The record is from RNAcentral.